This is a non-coding RNA of Potamilus streckersoni, 73 nucleotides long. Lineage: Eukaryota; Metazoa; Mollusca; Bivalvia; Unionida; Unionidae. The record is from the annotation of a GenBank genome assembly.
GCUAAGGUGGCCUAGUGGUUACAGCGUCCGUCUCGGAUGCGGGAGGUUGUGGGUUCGAUUCCCCGUUGAGUCA